Long non-coding RNA from Helianthus annuus (common sunflower), 1441 nucleotides. RefSeq lists it as uncharacterized. NCBI's taxonomy places the organism in Eukaryota, Viridiplantae, Streptophyta, Magnoliopsida, Asterales, Asteraceae. The transcript has 2 exons. The record is from RefSeq and is a predicted model, not a curated record.
GAAGGGUCUUAGGAAUAGUUUCGGUUUCUAGGGAAACCUUACCUACAUCCGCCGGUUCCACAGCUUCUCUAUCUUCUUUCUCUCCUCUUUGCCGGUUUCCCCCUCUGAUUAUUUGCCUGCUAGAGAAACAAAGAAAGAAAGCAACAUACUAGGGUAAGAAAGAGAGAGACUAGGGUGAGAAAGAGAGAGACGGGGAUUGUUUUCUCCGAUAAGGGUGGUCGUGGCGAGACGAUGGUGGUUGAUAGCGGCAACGGCCGCCUCCAGAGGCGGAUGCAAGACGCCAUGGUAACAUGGAGACACAAAUCUGGUAGAUAAAGGAGAGAAUCUGGAGGUGGGCACGGUAGACCACCGGCGGAGCGUAGCGGCUGAUAACGCAGAAGGCGGUUGUUGAUGCCAUGCAUCCGGCAGCAGCGGCGAGCGGAGCUCGCAAUGUUUUGGAGUAGAAUAAGCGGUGUUGAAGGUUCACAAGCACUGUCGGAGACCUGGUUGCAUGAUCAUUGUAUCAAGGGACGGUGGAUUGACUUUUCGAAAAAGUCAGCUAGGGUUCCGGCGAGAUUCCGGUAACCCGGUUCAGUAGUUUGCAGUGAAUUAAACCGAAGUAAAAGCGUAGUGGAAUGUUUUGGGUCGGGGAACAGGACCAUGUUUUCGGUGGACAAUUAUUGUACCAUUUAGCCACUAACAGAAGAUCAUAAGUAAUGGAACUGGAAUGUUACAAUGUGAUAAUAAUGUCAUAUGAGACUGGGGCUAGGUUAGAGUGUCAGGUAAUACAAAGGAAAAAAUGGAAAUGGCAAGUUUGAACAUGGUUCUAGCACCACAAGAAGAAUGAAGAGAUAUCCGUGAAGUUGGUAAGGCAACAGUUAUGGAACUGGUUAGAUCUGAACCUACCAGCAAGUGAGUUCAAAUUGAAUAAAAUUGCAACUCCAAAAGCGAAUAUGUUUGCAUAGAGAACACUAGACAGCGAAGAUUCCUAUUGCGAAAGCUUUGGCAAAUAGAGGCAUACCAAUUCAGAAUUCACUAUGUACGUUCUGUGGAGCGGUUGACGAGUAGUGCUGGUCAGAUGCACGUUCGCAGACAUGGUCUGGCAGCAGCUAUUCUGCUGGAUGAAAGUCCCGACAGGCAACCGGUUUGACUCGGUGGGUAGGUGAAAAUUAUACAUGUGGUGUAUCUAUUAGAGCUUUGGAGGGUACGGUGUUGGAGAAAUCAGAAGAAAUUUGACAUCGAUUUACAAGGUUGUUGAAGAAAUAAAGCAAACGACUUUCGAUUGUUUAAGGCAUAGAUCAAGAUUCACAAGCAUAACAUGGGAAGAAUGGAGAAGAUUUAAUGCAAUUCUAUAGAUUAGAGUGUGGAAUGUAAUGUUAUGAUGUUGCUGUACAAUUUGGCGAAUAUAGCAACUUGCUGUUUGGUUAUAUUUGAAUAAAAUCUCCAUUGACCUUUAAAAAUA